This 330-nucleotide ribosomal RNA is filed under the name Triticum aestivum (bread wheat). RNAcentral describes it as "partial small subunit ribosomal RNA". The record is from RNAcentral. Lineage: Eukaryota; Viridiplantae; Streptophyta; Magnoliopsida; Poales; Poaceae.
AUGUUUGUGAAAUUGUUUUUGCCAAGUGACAAGAAGGACAGAUGCUUCAGAUUACCUAUUCUGGACGAGAGCUGCCCGUGUAAGUUGUUGGUAGAUAGCCGCAGCGCUGUCAGAUUACUGCACGAGUAUAUGCUUUCUGGAACUGUGCCGGAUAAGUUGUUGGAAUCUAGAUCUAAAGUUUUUAGUUUUGGAAGAUUGGAGAAAUUGACAUUGUCUCUUGAACAGGCCUAUAUAAUCUGGUAUCUUGCCACUGAAUCGGUUCCCUCCAAGAUCAAGGGUUACGAGAUUUCUGAGGCUGACCAUGUUUGCAGUAUCAAGAACUCCAUGUAA